CACAAAACAAAAUCACGGUCAAUCUCAAAAACGGCUCGUUUGUCGUAAUUAUGCUUAUAGAUAUAUGUUUGUCUCAUUUACAGUUAAAAAAAAAAAAAAAAACAGCCAAGGUUGCAUUUUGACAAUAGCUAUCCUUUAAGAACUGUAUAUUUUACAGUUAAGAAAUCAUUUAUCAUUAGAUCUGUUGUUGGCAGCACGUUUUGUUCAUUUCUGUGCAUUUUGCUCAAGCACUGAUCAAACUUUGUCCAUUUUUUGCUGCAGAGGGGAUCCUGUCAGUCCAAAGUGAACUCCUGAUGGACAUUGAAGUACUCCUGCAGAGCUUGUAUCUUCGACACCAUGCGCAUUAGAAACUCCACUGAGUCCUUUCCUUCACCAAGGCAGGACCCAGUGACUCAUUACUGUUGAUAGGUCAGGGGCAGUGCAGGCCCGUGGCAGGCCACCUGAGCUGCAAUGAUGUUGCCGCUGCAGCCGUGGCAGGCUGGCGGAGCUGCAGUGCCACCACCACUGGACACGUGGCAGGCCACCACAACCAUUUCGCCGCUGCUGCCUGACCCAUGGCUGCCUGCCGGUGCUGCAACGCCGCCACCCCUGGGCCUGUGGUUGGCCACCUGAACUUUCUCACUGUUGGACUUGUGUCGGGCCGCCAACAUCACCGCCUGCCGGCUUGGCCAACUGGACUGUUUCAAACCCCCGCCAGGAGCGCGGCCAGGGGACUGCGACCCGGAAGUGUUCCCGCACUGGAGGCUGCCGAACCUGCCGCUCAUUAGCCUUCCCCAGCUGCAGCUGAUAGCCUCAUGAGGAGCGUCUUAUUUAAGAAGGUGGCGGAGCUCCAGUCGACGCGGGAUUAUACUAAGUCGAACCUGAGUCAGGAACGUUGUCACAAGGGGAAUCAUGGAGUGGAAUCGGGUUUUAGGAGUUGUCACCUUUUCACUGUUAUGGACACGUGCACUGUGUGGGCUUCAUAGAGGAAUCGCCACAGGAGUCACAGUGCUGGAAUUGAAACGAACGACACGGAGAGAUGGAAGGAGAGACGUCACUAGUUCACGAGAGCUGUGUGGACACACGAGGGGAGCACUGAAGGGACUUUGCACUGUGGAUAACUGUGGAUUGGCUUCACUGUAAAUAAAGAC
This is a long non-coding RNA of Oreochromis aureus, 1130 nucleotides long. The record is from Ensembl. Lineage: Eukaryota; Metazoa; Chordata; Actinopteri; Cichliformes; Cichlidae.